Molecule: ribosomal RNA, 496 nt
Filed under: uncultured bacterium
Lineage: Bacteria
Description: partial 16S ribosomal RNA
Rfam family: Bacterial small subunit ribosomal RNA
Source: RNAcentral
AUGCACGCUGGCGGCGUGCCUAAUACAUGCAAGUCGAGCGAACAGACGAGGAGCUUGCUCCUCUGACGUUAGCGGCGGACGGGUGAGUAACACGUGGAUAACCUACCUAUAAGACUGGGAUAACUUCGGGAAACCGGAGCUAAUACCGGAUAAUAUAUUGAACCGCAUGGUUCAAUAGUGAAAGACGGUUUUGCUGUCACUUAUAGAUGGAUCCGCGCCGCAUUAGCUAGUUGGUAAGGUAACGGCUUACCGAGGCGACGAUGCGUAGCCGACCUGAGAGGGUGAUCGGCCACACUGGAACUGAGACACGGUCCAGACUCCUACGGGAGGCAGCAGUAGGGAAUCUUCCGCAAUGGGCGAAAGCCUGACGGAGCAACGCCGCGUGAGUGAUGAAGGUCUUCGGAUCGUAAAACUCUGUUAUUAGGGAAGAACAAAUGUGUAAGUAACUAUGCACGUCUUGACGGUACCUAAUCAGAAAGCCACGGCUAACUACGUG